CCACACCUACUCCAACAAGGCCACACCUACUCCAACAAGGCCACACCUCUCAGUAGUGCCAAUCCCAGGGAGCUCAUGGGGGCCAUUUCAUUCAAACUACCGAAGAGGCUUACCUGGAUUAUGUAACAAGACUUAAUAAAUGAAAGUAGAAGAGCAAACAAACAAAGAGAACUAGCCUAGGGUCCAGAGGGGGCAAUAACUACAUGGCUGGAGUACGGACCGCUCCAAUCAGAGCACAGAUAUUGCAGUCACAGAAACACAGUGACUGGGUUCACAGAGGUGGACACGUGGGGCCAGAGACUACGUGAGUUCCGGUGCUUCCCAGAUGAGAUGGCUCUGGCUCCCAGUUUUGUCUUAUGAACCGAUAAGAAGCACCUUUUUGUGGAUCUGGUGAUCAUUUGGGAGAGAUUGGGACCGUCGAAUCUGACUGAAUGCACACACUACUGUGCUCCCUCUGUGCUGGGAUGGGUGACCUGUUUCCCUUUGUGACCAAACAGUCCCUGCUCUGGCCUGGUAUGGAUGGUGAGGCCUGGGCUAUGGCCAGGGAUACUUCAGGAAGGAUUCUCAAUCAAAGCAGGACAAACUGAAUCAGAAACCUGGGUUUUACAGAUGGGAAAACUGAGACUCAAGAGAGGGCAGGAGUCCAAGGUUCAUAUAGCAUGCCAUGGCAGAAGUCCAGGGAGAAUCUACUCUUCUGUGUAGGCUCCUUCCUAAACCCCAUAGGUCACUGGGCUCACAAGAGGAAGAACUGGGUCUUGAACCCCAGCCUCUGACUCUGAGGCUCCUGCUCUUUCUGUUGCUCUGUACUAUCUCCUUAUGUCUCUCCCCUGGCCCGUGUCCUGGAACACGGGCAGAACAGGAGACUGAUGGGGUAAAGAUGGUCCAUCAAAUAUGGUGGGAGGGGAAGGGAGAGGGCCCAGCUCUCCAGCAGGCACUCUUGGCUUCCCCACUUUCCAGGGAGCUGUUGGGAACCCGUUUCCUUUUCUGUAAAAUGAAGACAGUUAUUAUCUUGUACGGUGGUGAAAAGGCCCCCUGGAAUCACUAUGGAAAUGGACACAAGCCUGGAUAUGGCAGCUACUGGAUACGGUGUUCUUAGCAGUAACAGCAGCCGGGUUUAGUAAACCUUGUUGAAUAACAGGGGUGACCUGGCUCACCAGUUGCCUCCAGAGCUGAGAUUGGAAGCUAGUGAGCAGGAGGCAAGAGAAGAGACUAAUAAUUGAGCACCUGCCUUGAGUCAGGCAUUACACAGUGUCACAGCUGCUGGGGUCAACUCUGAGUGCUCACGGCAAGGUGCAGCGAGCUGUCUGACUUCAGAGGCGGGAAACCGAAGCAGAAGGGACAUAAGGUUCCACCUCUUGUGAGAGCAAAACACAGAUUUACAGCUUGGUCAGUUGGACCCGAGAGCCCCUGGGCAGCCUCCGUGUUGACACACGUGUCUCAUCUCUGCUCAGAGGCCCACUGGGUUAUCUUUGUGUUGGGCUAUGUUGGGUCCUCUGAGUGGGUCCUGGUCCCUGGUGAACACUAUCAGAAUCUUCCCGGCACCUCUUCCAGGCUCUGUUCCUCCAUAUUCCCGAGGACCACCAGGUAAGGUCCCACCUGUCUGUCUACUGGACUUCCCUCUUCGGGAGCACCUACUCUCAGUCCCAGACGGUGACCUCUCCUGAGGAGGAUGGGCUUUGGACGUGACCUCUCCUGAGGAGGAGUGGGCUUUGGACGUGACUUCUCCUGCGGAGGAUGGGCUUUGGGCCCUGUGGUGCCUUCCUUGCACGCUCUCUUUUCUUGGUUCUGUGUUUCCAGUUCACAGGAUGCCCCCUCCCUUCAGCCCUGGGGACCAAAAUCAGAGUGUUUCCAGUUAAAGACCCGGGAGCUUGGAGGUCAAGUUCUUAAAACCAGGGCCCUGAAGGGAAGAGGUAGCCUGGGGAGGGGGAGAGUGAGAGGUAGUGGAGGAGAGGAGAGGGUCAAGGGGCAGGAGCGCCACUACAUGUGUGUGUGUACCCAAGCACCCUGCAGUCCUGAACCCGGAUUCUGCCAGGUAGUGAAAGAACGCCAUCAGAAUUGACAUCCCAGGAUCAAUUUGACAAGAAGGAUGCUCCUAUCCACCCACAGCAGGGAGAGAGCUUCCGGAGUGAGUCAGCUGCCUGGCUAGUGAGCUGCCUGUGGCCCAAGCAGGGUACUCUGCACCCUGGCAGCCCUAGGUCCUGCUUUGGAGCCCCAGGAGAGGAACUGCCACUCAGGAAAGGAGAAAGGACACUUGUCUGCUCCUGAGGUCAUCAUCAGGGCUGGUGGCUGAUGCAAGAAUGUGGGGAGUGUUUUCCAGAGUUCUUGUUGAGGCCACGCUUGAGGCCUGUGGUGACCCUGGGAGGUGGACUCCUACCCCUGUUAUACAAAUGGAAGCUUGGGGGAAGGAAGAGAUCUCUCAGUACAAGGCAGGAGUGAUAAAUGGAGAUAGCUUUUAUGCUGUCAGCACCUAUGAUGGUGGGCCUCAUAGCUAAAGUGUAGGAGACACUUAACUGGGGCUCCCAGCAGACAUGACGUAAUUCUGGUCUUAGUCCUCACAGGCCCGCCAGGAGAGAACCCUGUUGUCAUCCCUCCCCUCUUCAGAGAGAGAAACAGGCAUGCUAGAUGCCUUCCUCAGCACCCAGAGCAGUCCCGGGAAGCUGAGGCUUGAAUCCAGCCUUCCAUGUCAGAGUUCCUACCUUUAACUGCUUCUCUCAAAGUGUGUGUGUGUGUGUGUGUGUGUGUGUGUGUGUGUGUGUGUGUGUGUGUGUGGUGGAGUGGGGGAGCUGGCGGGAGACCCAACUACACUCCAUGUGCCCUCUCACUGGUGGAUGGGGGUGCAUCAGGCCCUUCAGCUAACAGCACAGGGAGCUGGCCUAGCCCCAGAGGCAGGUGGACAGCCAUCAUCAGCCUGGUUCAGGGCACUUCAGGUUGGGGCACCCUAGACAUGGUAGGUGACCUGUGCUGACAUUUCUUAUCUCCAGGGACACAAGCCAACUGUGAGUCUGUUGAAACAGUAAGGCUGGCGGGUUGCUCAGCUGAGGCAAUCGGCUUAUUCAGAAAAGAGAGAGGAGAGGUUGAAAGGGCAGGGCAGGGACACUAUUGCUUUUGUGUGUGUGUGUGUGCGUGCUCAAGGGCACUGUAGGCCAGAAUCAGAAUCCUGCCGGAUAGUGAAAGAGUUUCAUCAGAAUCCGCAUCCUGGAAUCAGUUUCACAAGAGAGAUGUUUCAGCCCACAGCAGGCAGGGAGCAUUCUGCCCUGGCCAGAGCACCUGGCUUGAUGUAGCCAAGGAACCUAGAGUCUUGAGAAACAGGGGUCCUUCUCUGGCUCAGGGUUAAUUCCCUUCACGGUCUUAGGAAACAGCUUUGCCCUAUGCGCAUGUCUGAGUCUCCCUGAAUGUCCAGGGAGGGGCUUGGAUCGUCUGGUUCUCAGGUUCUUUUCAGUCUUGCACCCUCGCUCUGAAUGCUGACUCCUUAGAUGGGGCUCACUUUUCAAAGACAGGAAAUUGUUGCCAUGCUCAUUGGAGAGGAGGAUUUUCAGCAGUUCCGCAUUUUCCCUUAAGUCUGGCUUUCUACAAUGGUCCUCACUACCCAAGGGGUGUCUAGAGGAUUGUAGGAGAGAUGCCAUGCUGUCCAGACAUGGGCACCAAAGCUGCAAAUUAUCCACAGACGUCUAUACUGGCUAAGGAGCAGAGCCUUCUCUUCACUUGCUCUGGGCUGGGAUUCUGCCUGGGCAUCCCUGCACUUGAACGGUUCAUGCUGAUGGAGCCCCGAGUGCCAGCAUGAUUUCAGUCAUGGUAUCACACCACUACGCUGCUGAGGUGAAUUACUACCAUAAGAGGAGAUGCAGGGUGGCAGAGGGAAAAGGUCAGGUUCACACCCCGCUAUGACUUCUGACUCCUGGUGUGAGCAUGCCUCCGCCCCCCAGCUUCAUCGUCUUGCUGGUACUGACAUUUCGGCACCCUGUGAAUGAAGUCAGAAGCAGAGCACAUGCAUGGGGAUGACACACACAUGCAGGCCAGCGAGCAGUGUUUGGGUACAAGGCAAAGGGAGUGGACGGAAGAGGGAUCUGAAAGACCCAGGUGUCCUCAUAGGGAGAGGAGAUUGGCACGUGGACCCACAUGUUGAAAGCCAUGUGACUGUGAAGGUGGUAAUCUACAGGACCUGGAGUGGGGACUCAAGAAACCAAGUCUGCUGAACCUUGGACGCCUGGCCACCGGAACGGCCUUGUUCUUCUCAUCUGUAAGACAGUUAAAACCUUCCCUUCCUCCAUCUUCAGAGAUGGGAAACUUUUUCACUUUGUGCUGGACUCCUGGGGCGUAGAAGACUCAGUCCUGUCCAGUGAGGAAGAGAACCACAGAUGUAUCCACCAUCUGUGUCCACUCCAAACGAAAUAAUGACGCAGCUGCCACUCAGAACUUCUCAACCCAGACCUUGCGACCCUACUGAAUACCUUCAUUGUUUUUCUCUGCAUGCUCUCAGAUAAUAGCUCUCACUCCCAUUGUGUAGACGAGAAGACUGAGGCUUGAGUGAUCAGAUAUUGCUCUAAAAUCCACACAGCUGGCACAAUGACUCCUGAUUUAAAUCAGUCUGAAUGAAAGCCACUCACUGGCUCUGCUGUCUCUCAUUUGUGCAUCUGUUGCUACUGUGGCCAGGUUUGGGGUAUCCUGUACUUCAGGUCCAUCCCUGACUAAUUGUGCAGUUUCUAAGUCAGGGGAGAAAGAGCAGGGCUUUCUAUUAGCAAUCUGCCUGUGAGGAUCUUGGGGUCAGAAGUCCCAUGCCUGGGGUCUCAAGAUGCAUGCUCUCUGGAAGAUUCUGAGCCUCACCAUCAGCUUUUGGAAGUACACGCCUGUGAGUGAGGAGACCCCUGCCCAGCACCCUCAGAUUGCUCUUUCCUGCAGUUAGCUGGCAGUGGGCAAGGUCUGGCUGGGAGCCCAGACUUCCUGCAGCCCUGGCUAUUGCUGGAUGGCCAGUGUGUUCUUGCAAAGGUCUCUACCCUUUUGGGGUUGUUUGUUUUUGAGACACGGUCUCAUAAAUCCCAGGCUAGCCUUAAACUCAUUGUAUAGACAGUCAAGAAUGGCCUUGAACUUGUGAUCUUCCUGCCUCUAUUUCUGGAAUGCUGGGAGUAUAAGGUAUACCACCACACCUGACUUUAUGUGAUGCAGGGAUCAAACCAAGGGCUUUGCGCAUGCUAGGCAAACACUGUACCAACUGAGCUACAUCCUCAACAAGUCUUCUCUGUGAGAUGUCAGAUUCCAGAUUUGCAGACAUGAGGCUGGAGUAAGCUCUCCGAGCAACACAUAAUAUGAAGUAACUGUAGAUGACUCAAGCCCUGUCUUGGUUGGAUCUGGAAGGCCGAAUGUGGUUUUGAAUGGUUCCCCUCACCCCUCCCAAAGCCCCUCCUAGAUCUUGUGGCUGCUCAUAUGGCUCCACCCUGCAUCUCAGAUCAUUUGGGAGAGCAGACAGUGAUGCAAGAGGGAGGGAGUGAGAAGGGCUGAGGUCACUGUGGCCAACUGCCCAAUAGUGUGUGAUGGAGGGUGUCCUUGGCUCAUGCCCACACCUAGCCAGCCUCCGCCUUCCAUCCUGUAAAACAGUGAUAACAAUAGUACUUACUUUCAGAGGUACUUGAAUGGUGAGGAUAAUAUAGGGACCAACGGGAAGCAUGGUUGAAAGACACAUGGCACUGAGCCUGGGAUGUAGUGAGCAAGCACUCAGAGAGAAUGGCUUGGCAAUAAGAUGAUGGUGCUGGUGAUGGCGAGGAUAGGGAGAAGGAUGAUGUCAGCCAUGAUGCUGUCCAACUCCACCCUUGUGGUUCUUCCUGGGUGCCUCUACCCAAGACAUCCCACCCCAGUACAAACAUGUCCGGAGAAACCAAGUAGCCAGGGCAUGCCCUCUGAGUUGGGUAGAGGCCAGAUGCUGACCCUCAUGGACAGAUCAGUGCCCAAUGGCUGUGUUCUGGGCAUGGUGGCAGCAUCAGCUUUGAAAGAAUUAAUGGAAGUCUUCCCAGGGGAGGCAGUGCUUAGCUGCAGUAUUGAUGGAGGUGUAGGAAUUGGCUGAUAGAACAGAAUAGGAUUUCUCUUUUCCAUUUAAAGGCAUUCCUGGCCGAUGAAAUAACAUGAGCAAAGGCAGAGAGGUGUGAAAUAGCCUGUCGAGCUUGGGAAGCUGUGAGAGGCACAAUAUGGUUAGACAGUUGGGAGCCAGUGGCAGCAGGGAGAUGAGGGAGGAGUGGGGAUGUUUGGGGCAGAUCUCACCGAGCCUGGGGUGCUAAGUCAUGUACACCCUAGCUUUAAGGCCGAGCUGUUUGGUACAUUGUACGAUAGACAUUCCAAGCGUCUACCGAUCCCAAGCACUUUUGUGGAAGACACCGUGAGUGCAGCCCGGAUGCCUCAGAAUCCCCAGGCUGGGUCGUUCCUUCCUCAGUCGUUGAGAUUUCCAGUGGCAAAGUUUGAGGCUGACACGCCUCCCCAUUAUUGCCUCCCCAUCUAGUGUCCUGUCCCGUCCUGUGUCUGGUAACUGGUUCCUAUGGGGCCUGGGGGCCCAGGACUCUUUUCUCAAUUUGUGAUAAUUAUGAGAAGUAUUUCCAGAGGCUGGAGAUGGUUUAGUCUAGAAAGCCCUUGCUGUGCAAGCCUGAAGAACCUGGGCUUGGACCCCCAGCAACCUGUGCAAAAUCCAGGCCCAGAGGAAGUGAAGACAGGUGGGUUAGGACUCACUGGCCAGUCAGCUCAUCCAAAUGAAUGACCUCCACGUUUGGUGAAAGACCUGGUUUCCAGAAAUUAAGUAGAGGGUCAGUGCGAUGGUUCAGUGCUGAGGUGGUGCUUGCUGCCAAACCUGACAACCUGAGUUCAAAUCCCAGGCCCCAUAUGGUGAAAAGAGAGAAACGAAACCCACAAACUGUCCUCUGAUGUCCACAUGAGAGACAUGGUGAGAACUCAUGAGCAUGCGCGCGCGCGCACACACACACACACACACACACACACACACACACACACAAACUUAAGAGGGGAACAAGUGAAGAAGACACUUAGCACUGACCUCAGAUCUCCACAAACAACAUGUGUAUUGCACCAGCACACACUCAUGCACACACCCACAGGAACACAUAUAUCUUAACUCACACACAGCCCCAUACAUACACAACCUCUCCAGCUCCAGACCUCUGGGAGGAGCAGGCAAAGGCUUUGGAGGGAUUUACCUCAAAGUCCAGUUUGACCCUCUGCCCAGUCCCUCCCCAUAGAGGCUGAUCUUGAAAGAACUUCCCCGAAGAACAUUCUGCCAGCAAAUCUUCCUCUUGGCCUCCUUCCCCAGGAGCCCCACCCGAAACAGCCCUCAUGUAGGGAUGCCCAUGAUGGGUGACAUGUAAUAAAGGGGUGAUAAGGAACCCUGAUUUUGAGGGAACCUUCAAAAAGGCAUCUCUGUCCAGGGUGAGGGAAGGAACUGGAAGGACACAUCGGAGUCUGGCGGUCAGAGAGGGCACGGUUGCUGCAGUUUAGCAGAUGUGGGCAUGAGGUGGCGGGGCAGGCAGGAAGGGCACAUCUGAGGGGACCUAGAGAGCAGGGGAGAGACUGAGUGUGGGAAGGGUCUGGGAGCCAUGGAACAUCAGGGCAGAGGUGGAGUCCGUGCCUGGAAUGACAGGAAAGACUGAACAAGACAGACAGCUCAGUGAGCAUCAUGGCUACCAGACAUCUGGGUGGAGGGGCCCUGGAGGUGUUUAGGGGGGCUGUGACCUGGGGGUGCGGAGGUUGGGUAACAGCAACUGGUGGUUUGCAGAACAUUCAUUCACCCAUUGAGUUUGUCAGCAAUCAGAAAGACCCAGUGUCCUAGAGAGUCUUGCCGGGUGAAGGGACACUUGCACUGUGAGUGGCAGCUACUUACAAGUAGUCAGCUAGCAUCCCUGUAUGCCAGUGUACUACAUGCCCUGCAGCUCCCUCUGAAAUCCUCCCGAGAACCCGCUAGACAGACACCUCAGUCCUCGUCAUAAAGAGGAAGCCAGAGCUCAGGGAGGCUCCCGCUUUGGCAGGAACCAGGCGGCUCCCAAUGGUGGAGUUAAAUCCAGGCUCAUCUGACACAUGCCUGUAAUUGCUGGAGGGGAGAUCGGGACCCAGAAUUCUUGGCUCUUUAAUCAGAGUCCUUUCUCCUUGCUCAAGUGGCCACUUCCUGUGGUGAAUUCCAGAACUUCUGAUCAUGAGCCAACUUCUUCUUCUUCCAAGAAACAGAGCCGAGAAUGACCAGUUUCUGGGGCCUUGGGGUGGAGUGGGAUUAUCUUAGCAGGAAUUUCCAGGCCCGGGAAUCCCCCACUCCUGGUCUGGAGCCCUGGCACACAGGAGAAGGUCUCUGUAGCAGCGGCAGCAGGAGUCUGUCCAGUGGACAGCAUCGCCACAGUGUCAGGAAGGCGGGGCCCUCAAGCCUGCCUCAGCUUGGCCCCAUCACCCCCAGCCUGUGCCCUGUGGGGAAAUGGGCUCUCUUCAUUCAUCUUUUCCCAAAACGUUUCUGUAGAGCCUGGCUGUCUCAUUGAACCGUGAAUGUCUGCUGUCUCCCUUCUCCAUGAUUUUGUGUCCCAGGGCUUCAGUGACCUGCUGUCCACCACGAUCUAAAUACAUUAAAUGGAAGCAAGGUAUGGUGGAACACUCCUGCAACCCCAGCCCUGGGAAGGCAAGGGCAGGAGGUCUGUGAGUUCAAAGCCAGCCUGAACUGCACACUGAGACCUUGUCUCAAAAGACAAAACCAAUCAUUUUAAAUGGAAAAUUCCAGAAAUCACUUGGGAACUUUAAAUUACAUGCGGUUGUGAGCAGCGUUGUGCUCUUUCUGUGUCUCACCCAGAAAGUGAGCCAUCCUUCUGCACAUUAUACACCCCACAUGUACUACCUGCCCUUGCUCCUCCAGCAGACACUAUAGUUAGCUAUUAGACUCCCUAUGGAAAGAUCAAACACCCAGCGGGUGACAGAACGCGCAGGGUGUCCAUGUUUGCUCAUCUCAUCCUGGGGUCCAGGGAGGACAAGGACCUGCCCAAGGCCACCCAGUGCUUUGGUGUACAGCAUGUUCCAUCCUGAGUGUCCCAACCAGCAACUCAGUGCCUUUCCACGUCCCAGAUCAAUGUGAGUUGUGGCAUCAGGCCAGAGGAUUGAGGGAAUUUAGAAACUGACUUGAGUUCAAGGUCUGGCUCCACCCUGGACUUGCCAGGAGACUCUGCCAAGUCACCGGUCUCCCAGUCUCAAUUUCCUGGGCUUUGAAAUCAAAAUAAUGACUCCUUCCUUACAUAGUCCUUGUGAGAACGUAGAGAGAACAUCGUGUGGGAGACAUGCAGUGGGCCUGAGCUGCUCCAGCCAAUGACCAUCUUCAUUAAUGUUGACACAAUCAACACCAGCUGUGCGCUCUCAGACACACAGCUUACUUCAGCCCCAUCCAGAGCAACGCAAACUGCAGACGCACUGACGGCCCGGCACACUAGAGAUGCUCACUAAAGCUUGGUGUCUCUAACUCUGCAUGCAAUCAUUCUGCUUCCAUGGGUGGCUGCAGGGGACCUGCCUCAUUCCUCAUGACAACAACCCAGGAGACAAGAAGAGACGAAAUUGUGAUUGGAAGAGAGGAAAAGAGUACGGAGCUAGCUUCUAAAAUCAUCUUCUCAUGGAAGCUUGAAACAAAGCAGCAUGUGUUUUAAAAACCUGGUGUAGCUCAGACCUCUCUGGUCACAGCCAAGACUUUUACAGGCCCUAGGGAAGGAGCCAGAACCUGCAGAUGACCUCCCUCCUCUACUCACCCCGGCCAACACUGACCCUGGGCAAGGCUCAGGAAGAAAACCAGUCCUUUGUGGUCGUCCAGGCUAUAGCUGAACAAAUGCCAGAAAUGUUCUUUUGGUAGCUAGAUUUCAUCUGGAGCUAUGGUGGAACAGAAUAUUCUAGGUCUGGGAAGGUUCUAGUGUCUCCGAGUCCAGCCUCCAUUUCUCUCCAGUUUCAUGGGAGUCCAGAGUCGGAUGGUCUCCAGGGAUGGAGAUGUAGCCCCAGGCCUGAUGCCCCAUGUAGCACCUCCUCAUUCCCAUCAAGGGCCUCCCCUCUUCUGUCCAUCAACCAUACAGCCCAAUAGCAUCUGUGGUGGUUUGCAUGAGGAUGCUCCCAUAGCUUCAUGAGUUUGAAUACUUCAUCUCCAGUUGGUGGAACUGUUUGGAAAGGACUAGGAGGUGUGGCCUUGUUGGAGGAGGUGUGUCACUGGGGUGGGUUUUCAGGUUCCAGAAGCCCAUGCCCUUCCCAGUUAGCUCUCUCUGUGUGCCUUGCUGUUGACUCAUGGCGGGACCUCUCAGCUACUGUUCUAGCGCCAUGCCUGCCCACCUGCUGCUGUGCUCCCCACUAUGACGGUCAUGGACUCUGGGGUUCCAAAGCUGUAAGUGAGCCCCCAAUAAACUUCCC
Peromyscus maniculatus bairdii (prairie deer mouse) is the source of this 10392-nucleotide non-coding RNA. The record is from RefSeq and is a predicted model, not a curated record. NCBI's taxonomy places the organism in Eukaryota, Metazoa, Chordata, Mammalia, Rodentia, Cricetidae.